This 490-nucleotide ribosomal RNA is filed under the name uncultured bacterium. RNAcentral's name for it is "partial 16S ribosomal RNA". It matches the Rfam family "Bacterial small subunit ribosomal RNA", at positions 30 to 507 of the family's 1533-position model. The record is from RNAcentral.
AUUGAACGCUGGCGGCAGGCCUAACACAUGCAAGUCGAACGGUAACAGAAAGCAGCUUGCUGCUUUGCUGACGAGUGGCGGACGGGUGAGUAAUGUCUGGGAAACUGCCUGAUGGAGGGGGAUAACUACUGGAAACGGUAGCUAAUACCGCAUAACGUCGCAAGACCAAAGAGGGGCACCUUCGGGCCUCUUGCCAUCGGAUGUGCCCAGAUGGGAUUAGCUAGUAGGUGGGGUAAAGGCUCACCUAGGCGACGAUCCCUAGCUGGUCUGAGAGGAUGACCAGCCACACUGGAACUGAGACACGGUCCAGACUCCUACGGGAGGCAGCAGUGGGGAAUAUUGCACAAUGGGCGCAAGCCUGAUGCAGCCAUGCCGCGUGUAUGAAGAAGGCCUUCGGGUUGUAAAGUACUUUCAGCGGGGAGGAAGGGAGUAAAGUUAAUACCUUUGCUCAUUGACGUUACCCGCAGAAGAAGCACCGGCUAACUCCGUG